GCUGGGCAUGGUGGGGCAUACUUGUAAUCCCAGUGACUUAGGAGGCUGAGGCAGGAGGAUCUCCUUCAAGGUCAUGGCCUCAGGAACUCAGUGAGAUCCUGUCUUGU
RNAcentral lists this small RNA (107 nucleotides) under Marmota monax (woodchuck). Lineage: Eukaryota; Metazoa; Chordata; Mammalia; Rodentia; Sciuridae. The record is from RNAcentral.